UUGGAAUAAAGCCCUAAAUUCAAGAAGCCU
RNAcentral lists this non-coding RNA (30 nucleotides) under Mus musculus (house mouse). Lineage: Eukaryota; Metazoa; Chordata; Mammalia; Rodentia; Muridae. The record is from RNAcentral.